GCCCGGACCGCUGGGCGCGGGUGAAAGGUCACUCAGAGCGGCGCCCGGCGCGACCAUUCGCUGCGGCGCAUCCCGGCAGCCACCGCGGCGGCUGGGCGGCGGGUGCCAUGCGCCGGCAGCCGCACGGUCUCAGCGCCCGCCCACCCGCCCGCCCUCCGCGGUCACGCCUCGGACGCCCAGCACCUGCCCCGCAGGUUUCUUAAGCCUUCUUGAUUAGUCCAUUUGUGUGUGUGUGUGGACAACAGUGAUCCAGUACCCAGGAAAAGAGAUAUUCUCAAAGAUGGCAGCACAGAUGAAAGAAUGCCAGAAAAGCUUGGCGCCAACCGACUUCAACAGCAGCAAACAGCUAUCGCCUGCCUACUCUCAACUCACCCAUCUUCUAAAAAAAAAAAGCAGAACCUAAGGAGGCCCUGCUCUGAUACUCCCUGGCUGAGCCCCUCACCACAGAGUGAGGAAACUGGGACCAGAAUCCACAUUGAUCCCUACUACACAGUCUGGAUAACCUGGAGCACCUCAAAAUUUCUGGCCUCAGUGCCUCAAGUCCACUUCCAAGGCCUGCCUACAUUUCUUCAGUCCCAUCCUCCCAAGGGCAGACCAUGCCACCAGUAUAUGCACUCCCUAGACUGA
Molecule: long non-coding RNA, 627 nt
Filed under: Canis lupus familiaris (dog)
Lineage: Eukaryota; Metazoa; Chordata; Mammalia; Carnivora; Canidae
Description: lncRNA (ENSCAFG00030021004.1)
Source: RNAcentral